This 255-nucleotide ribosomal RNA is filed under the name Clostridioides difficile. RNAcentral describes it as "partial 16S ribosomal RNA". It matches the Rfam family "Bacterial small subunit ribosomal RNA", at positions 711 to 966 of the family's 1533-position model. Lineage: Bacteria; Bacillati; Bacillota; Clostridia; Peptostreptococcales; Peptostreptococcaceae. The record is from RNAcentral.
AGUUGCGAAGGCGGCUCUCUGGACUGUAACUGACGCUGAGGCACGAAAGCGUGGGGAGCAAACAGGAUUAGAUACCCUGGUAGGCCACGCUGUAAACGAUGAGUACUAGGUGUCGGGGGUUACCCCCCUCGGUGCCGCAGCUAACGCAUUAAGUACUCCGCCUGGGAAGUACGCUCGCAAGAGUGAAACGCAAAGGAAUUGACGGGGACCCGCACAAGUAGCGGAGCAUGUGGUUUAAUUCGAAGCAACGCGAAG